This 443-nucleotide long non-coding RNA is filed under the name Mytilus galloprovincialis (Mediterranean mussel). Lineage: Eukaryota; Metazoa; Mollusca; Bivalvia; Mytilida; Mytilidae. The record is from RNAcentral.
AAUUGUUAGUUUUAAAGGAAAUUUUGCUGUUUUUUGGUUAUUAUCUUGAAUAUUAUUAUAGAUAGAGAUUAACUGUAAACAGCAAUAAUGUUCAGCAAUGUAAGAUUUACAAAUAAGUCAACAUGACUGAAAUGGUCAAUUGACCCCCUAAGGAGUUAUUGUCCUUUAUAGUCAAUUUUUAACAAUUUUCAUAAAAUUUGUAAAUAUUUACUAACAUUUUCCACUGAAACUACUGGGCCAAGUUCAUUAUAGAUAGAGAUAAUUAUAAGCAGCAAGAAUGUUCAGUAAAGUAAGAUGUACAAACACAUCACCAUCACCAAAACACAGUUUUGUCAUGAAUCCAUCCUCUUCCUUUGUUUAAUAUUCACAAAGACCAAGGUGAGCGACACAGGCUCUUUAGAGCCUCUAGUUUUUCAAUCCUGGUUGCUGUUUUUGUCACCUGC